GCGUCGGUGGUUCAGUGGUAGGACACUGGCCAACCAAGCUAAUGAUCCAGGUUUCGAUCCCCGGCCGACGCG
This 72-nucleotide transfer RNA is filed under the name Trichobilharzia regenti. It matches the Rfam family "tRNA". From Rfam's summary of the family: Transfer RNA (tRNA) molecules are approximately 80 nucleotides in length. Their secondary structure includes four short double-helical elements and three loops (D, anti-codon, and T loops). Lineage: Eukaryota; Metazoa; Platyhelminthes; Trematoda; Strigeidida; Schistosomatidae. The record is from Rfam by way of RNAcentral.